UUAGCAAACGAUCGCGCCGGUGCUCCGAAAGGAGCUUAAUCGGGAAUGCGGUGCGGGGAGCUUCCCCAAAUCCGCGGCUGUCCCUGCAACUGUGAGCGGAUAGCGCGAUGCACUGGCCCCCUACGAGGGGGCGGCCACUGGGCCCGCGGGCCUGGGAAGGCGUGCAGCGUGCCGUGACCCGCAAGCCAGGAGACCUGCCGGCGUCCGGUCGCUCUU
Molecule: non-coding RNA, 216 nt
Filed under: Sphingomonas sp.
Lineage: Bacteria; Pseudomonadati; Pseudomonadota; Alphaproteobacteria; Sphingomonadales; Sphingomonadaceae
Source: RNAcentral